Molecule: ribosomal RNA, 430 nt
Filed under: uncultured bacterium
Lineage: Bacteria
Description: partial 16S ribosomal RNA
Rfam family: Bacterial small subunit ribosomal RNA
Source: RNAcentral
ACGCACGCUGGCGGCCGGCCUAACACAUUCCAGUCGCGCGCCCUUUCGGUUGAGCGUCGGACGGGUGAGUAACGCGUGGGAAUAUGCCCUUCUCUACGGAAUUGCCUCUGGAAACUGAGUGUAAUACCGUAUACGCCCUGUGUGGGUAAGAUUUAUCGGGGAAGGAUUAGCCCGCGUUGGAUUAGGUAGUUGGUGGGGUAAUGGCCUACCAAGCCGACGAUCCAUAGCUGGUUUGAGAGGAAGAUCAGCCACACUGGGACUGAGACACGGCCCAGACUCCUACGGGAGGCAGCAGUGGGGAAUAUUAGAAAAUGGGGGCAACCAUGAUCAAGCCAUGCGGGGUGAGUGAUGAAGGCCUUAGGGUAGUAAAGCUCUUUCAGAUGGGAAGAUAAUGACGGUAACAGAAGAAGAAGCACCGGCUAACUACGUG